GCAUGAGCCAUCGUGCUUUUGUUGCCAAGAUGCCCAUGCAAUGAAAUUGAACAGCUGGUGAGGCACUACCUCAAAGGCCCUCUCCAGGGUGAGGUCACUUGCAGUGGGAGGCCAUGGAAGUUUUUCAGACGAUUUGGCAGCGUUUUGGAGGAUCUCUUUGAGGGUUCAUAUCUCCAUCACUAUCCUCAGAUGAGGAUGAAGAGGACAUGGCGAUAUCCUGGAGAAUCUCCUCAGGAGAUAUAUUGUCUACAUAAACAAGGUAUGUUUUGGAGGCUUUGUGGAAUUUUAGAAAAGGAUGGGACUUAUGAAGCCUCUGUUUCAACAGGUGAUCCUUAUACGCUCCUAUGUCUUCUCCCUCUGUUUCUUUCACAGUGUCUUUGAAAAGGGUAUUGAGCCUUGCCAAGCGAAACACCUCUCGCCUUUUUAUAAGCCUCUCCUCAAUGACUGUCUCACAAAAUGUUUUGUAGCCAAUUUCAUAGAGCCUGCUCUCUGUAUUCUUUGUUUUUAAGUACAGGUACCUAGUGUAAUCCCUGAAACAAGUGAAGUGGUAACGUGCUUCGCUGGCAACCAAGUCCCUGUCUCUAAUAUGAAGGAGGAGAGCCUCAUCUUUUCUGCCUUCAGCGGCAAGAACCAGUUUCCCAGCAUGCAGUGUUUCACACAACGAAAGUUUCUCCUUUAACCUUUUCUUGCUGUGUUUUUCCUGCUUGUAUUUGUUACUUCUGCAGAUAAUGCACUGCACAGGUAGUAGGUGUGGUGCUCGUUGUGAUGUAGAAAUACCACUGGUGUGUGACCUUAGAGCCCGAGUUUUUGAUGGACCUUCCUCACCAUCCUCUAGCUCUGCCUCUACCUCUAUCCCUACACAUUAAACAGAAGACAACAGAUUUAGGUUGUGUAGCCUACUCUCAACAAUAGUGCAUUAAUUGACAGAUACUAGCUGUUGGAUCAAAUUGUGUGGGCAGUGCUUAUGGGAAACUAAAAUAGUGUUCCUCUUCAUUUUAACAUAAUCCACU
Long non-coding RNA from Alosa alosa (allis shad), 1010 nucleotides. RefSeq lists it as uncharacterized. The transcript is spliced from 3 exons. The record is from RefSeq and is a predicted model, not a curated record. Lineage: Eukaryota; Metazoa; Chordata; Actinopteri; Clupeiformes; Clupeidae.